Mauremys reevesii (Reeves's turtle) is the source of this 822-nucleotide long non-coding RNA. RefSeq lists it as uncharacterized. The transcript has 3 exons. Lineage: Eukaryota; Metazoa; Chordata; Testudines; Geoemydidae. The record is from RefSeq and is a predicted model, not a curated record.
GUAGGACCUGGAGUAGUGUGUGUUGGGAGGCUGGGUCCCACUUUGGAUACAGGGUUCUGAAGUGUUUGGAAAAGAGAUGAGCUGCUGCAAUUCUUCUCACCCUCUGAAGAGUGCAGGUGACAUACUCUAGGUGACACACUUGCCACCAUUUCUUGACGGCAACGUCUACAAAGGCACACCAGGCAAGACUGCCUCUGUGAAAACCAGCUGUUGUCUGUCCCAGAUGUUACAAUGAGCAGGAUCCAUAACUUCAGCCCAGGGAGGUGACAGCUCACCACCACACUAGGUCCUGCUAGGAGAUGAAUUUCCUGGGCCUCGGCCAUUUCUGCCCCAGCAUGGACAGACAAGUUGUCCUGCAGCUCCCUGUGAAAAUGAGCAAAGGGGCAGUACAGUGUAUCGUGUCAUUGGGAACUAGGGGAUACAUACCCAGCUAUUUGUACUGUCCCUUGCGGUCCCUUCUUUGACCCUAUGGUCCUGUAAUUCUAUGUUGCUAUGACACAGUGCUGGUGUGGGUGUGUGGUGUGACAGCAGCACAUGGAACUUGACAGCGUGCUCAUGCUCUAGCCAGUUAAAUUAUUGUGAGGUAACUAAGGAUACGUCUACACUACAGCAGGGACCAUGCUUCUCCCGCUCAGACAGAGUUAACAUGCCAAAAAUAGCAGUGUCCUUGGGAGUAGCCUGAGCUAUCUGUGCUAUCAGUCCAUUUACAUAUCUGAGGGGUCUGGGCAGGUUUGAACUCAGGUAGCUAGUCUGGUUUGCCACCCAGGUGACCACUAGCUGUAGUGCUAUUUUUAGCAUGCUAGCUCGAGCUAGCUCAAUGGU